This 475-nucleotide ribosomal RNA is filed under the name uncultured Mesorhizobium sp. RNAcentral describes it as "bacterial SSU rRNA". It matches the Rfam family "Bacterial small subunit ribosomal RNA", at positions 1 to 524 of the family's 1533-position model. The record is from RNAcentral. Lineage: Bacteria; Pseudomonadati; Pseudomonadota; Alphaproteobacteria; Hyphomicrobiales; Phyllobacteriaceae.
CUCGCGUGUCAGAGUUUGAUCAUGGCUCAGAACGAACGCUGGCGGCAGGCUUAACACAUGCAAGUCGAGCGCCCCGCAAGGGGAGCGGCAGACGGGUGAGUAACGCGUGGGAAUCUACCCAUCUCUACGGAACAACUCCGGGAAACUGGAGCUAAUACCGUAUACGUCCUCGGAGGAAGAAUUAUCGAGAUGGAUGAGCCCGCGUUGGAUUAGCUAGUUGGUGGGGUAAUGGCCUACCAAGGCGACGAUCCAUAGCUGGUCUGAGAGGAUGAUCAGCCACAUUGGGACUGAGACACGGCCCAAACUCCUACGGGAGGCAGCAGUGGGGAAUAUUGGACAAUGGGCGAAAGCCUGAUCCAGCCAUGCCGCGUGAGUGAUGAAGGCCCUAGGGUUGUAAAGCUCUUUCAACGGUGAAGAUAAUGACGGUAACCGUAGAAGAAGCCCCGGCUAACUUCGUGCCAGCCGCCGCGGUAAU